UACGUAGGGUGCAAGCGUUGUCCGGAAUUAUUGGGCGUAAAGAGCUCGUAGGCGGAUCGUUGCGUCAACCGUGAAAACCCGGGGCUUAACUUCGGGCUUGCGGUUGAUACGGGCGGGCUGGAGUUCGGUAGGGGAGACUGGAAUUCCUGGUGUAGCGGUGAAAUGCGCAGAUAUCAGGAAGAACACCGGUGGCGAAGGCGGUGGGCUGGGCCGGCACUGACGCUGAGGAGCGAAAGCGUGGGGAGCGAACAGG
This 253-nucleotide ribosomal RNA is filed under the name uncultured bacterium. RNAcentral describes it as "partial 16S ribosomal RNA". It matches the Rfam family "Bacterial small subunit ribosomal RNA", at positions 524 to 776 of the family's 1533-position model. The record is from RNAcentral.